AUUGAACGCUGGCGGCAUGCCUUACACAUGCAAGUCGAACGGUAACGGGCCUUCGGGUGCCGACGAGUGGCGAACGGGUGAGUAAUGUAUCGGAACGUACCUUUCAGUGGGGGAUAACGUAGCGAAAGUUACGCUAAUACCGCAUAUUCUGUGAGCAGGAAAGCAGGGGAUCGCAAGACCUUGCGCUGAUUGAGCGGCCGAUAUCAGAUUAGCUAGUUGGUGAGGUAAAGGCUCACCAAGGCGACGAUCUGUAGCGGGUCUGAGAGGAUGAUCCGCCACACUGGAACUGAGACACGGUCCAGACUCCUACGGGAGGCAGGCAGUGGGGGAAUUUUUGGGACAAUGGGGGGCAACCCUGAUCCAGCCAUGCCGCGUGAGUGAAGAAGGCCU
RNAcentral lists this ribosomal RNA (390 nucleotides) under uncultured bacterium. RNAcentral describes it as "bacterial SSU rRNA". It matches the Rfam family "Bacterial small subunit ribosomal RNA", at positions 30 to 417 of the family's 1533-position model. The record is from RNAcentral.